AGACGUAGGGCGCGAGCGUUAUCCGGAUUUAUUGGGCGGAAAGGGCUCGUAGGCGGUGAUGUAGGUCGGGUGUGAAAACUUGGGGCUUAACCCUGAGAUGCCAUCCGAUACUGCAUUGACUAGAGUUCGGUAGAGGAGUGUGGAAUUCCUAGUGUAGCGGUGAAAUGCGCAGAUAUUAGGAGGAACACCUAUUGCGAAGGCAGCACUCUGGGCCGAUACUGACGCUGAGGAGCGAAAGCGUGGGUAGCAAACAGGAUUAGAAACCCGAGUAGUCC
RNAcentral lists this ribosomal RNA (275 nucleotides) under uncultured bacterium. Its description in RNAcentral is "partial 16S ribosomal RNA". It matches the Rfam family "Bacterial small subunit ribosomal RNA", at positions 523 to 796 of the family's 1533-position model. The record is from RNAcentral.